Molecule: ribosomal RNA, 468 nt
Filed under: uncultured bacterium
Lineage: Bacteria
Description: partial 16S ribosomal RNA
Rfam family: Bacterial small subunit ribosomal RNA
Source: RNAcentral
GACGAACGCUGGCGGCGUGCUUAACACAUGCAAGUCGAACGGAAAGGCCCUGCUUUUGUGGGGUGCUCGAGUGGCGAACGGGUGAGUAACACGUGAGUAACCUGCCCUUGACUUUGGGAUAACUUCAGGAAACUGGGGCUAAUACCGGAUAGGAGCUCCUGCUGCAUGGUGGGGGUUGGAAAGUUUCGGCGGUUGGGGAUGGACUCGCGGCUUAUCAGCUUGUUGGUGGGGUAGUGGCUUACCAAGGCUUUGACGGGUAGCCGGCCUGAGAGGGUGACCGGCCACAUUGGGACUGAUAUACGGCCCAGACUCCUACGGGAGGCAGCAGUGGGGAAUAUUGCACAAUGGGCGGAAGCCUGAUGAAGCAACGCCGCGUGCGGGAUGACGGCCUUCGGGUUGUAAACCGCUUUCGCCUGUGACGAAGCGUGAGUGACGGUAAUGGGUAAAGAAGCACCGGCUAACUACGUG